This 380-nucleotide unclassified non-coding RNA is filed under the name uncultured Gammaproteobacteria bacterium. RNAcentral describes it as "contains 16S-23S intergenic spacer region". Lineage: Bacteria; Pseudomonadati; Pseudomonadota; Gammaproteobacteria. The record is from RNAcentral.
UCCGGUUUAUCACCGGCAGUCUCCUUAGAGUCCCCAACUAAAUGAUGGUAACUAAGGACAAGGGUUGCGCUCGUUACGGGACUUAACCCAACAUCUCACGACACGAGCUGACGACAGCCAUGCAGCACCUGUGUUAUGGUUCCCUCGCGGGCACUCCUGAAUCUCUCCAGGAUUCCAUACAUGUCAAGGGUAGGUAAGGUUCUUCGCGUUGCAUCGAAUUAAACCACAUGCUCCACCGCUUGUGCGGGUCCCCGUCAAUUCCUUUGAGUUUUAACCUUGCGGCCGUACUCCCCAGGCGGAGAACUUAUCGCGUUAGCUUCGGCACGAAGUUAGUCUAGCUAACCCCUCGCCUAGUUCUCAUCGUUUACUGCGUGGACUAC